This 429-nucleotide ribosomal RNA is filed under the name Pseudomonadota bacterium. Its description in RNAcentral is "Proteobacteria bacterium partial 16S ribosomal RNA". It matches the Rfam family "Bacterial small subunit ribosomal RNA", at positions 355 to 776 of the family's 1533-position model. Lineage: Bacteria; Pseudomonadati; Pseudomonadota. The record is from RNAcentral.
UGGGGAAUAUUGGACAAUGGGCGAAAGCCUGAUCCAGCCAUGCCGCGUGUGUGAAGAAGGUCUUCGGAUUGUAAAGCACUUUAAGUUGGGAGGAAGGGCAGUAAGCGAAUACCUUGCUGCUUUGACGUUACCGACAGAAUAAGCACCGGCUAACUCUGUGCCAGCAGCCGUGGUAAUACAGAGGGUGCAAGCGUUAACCGGAAUUACUGGGCGUAAAGCGCGCGUAGGUGGUUCGUUAAGUUGAAUGUGAAAGCCCCGGGCUCAACCUGGGAACUGCAUCCAAAACUGGCGGGCUAGAGUAGGGCAGAGGGUGGUGGAAUUUCCUGUGUAGCGGUGAAAUGCGUAGAUAUAGGAAGGAACACCAGUGGCGAAGGCGACCACCUGGGCUCAUACUAACACUGAGGUGCGAAAGCGUGGGGAGCAAACAGG